CGAUUGGCCACCGUCCGGCCAUCACCCGGCAGAAAGCCAGCCACCACAGGGUCGCCUCCUCCCCCUGGUCACGCUGGUGCCCUUAGUUUUCGACGACUUGGCCGGAAAAGCUCGAUUUCACGCUGGGAAGGUAACGGUUGCAGUUUUGGGGUUUUGCCGAUUUCCGGCCAUUCCGGCCACCUCCGGCCACCAUAUUCACAUCGAAGGUUCGGUUUUUGCAGGAGAUUAUUUUGCCUAAGGUCUUGCUUCUCAAUUUGCAGUGUAGAGGUCGAAUCGAUCGAACCCGAUUCUAGGGUUCUUGAGCUUUUCUGGAAAAUUUUCACCGGCUUGAUUCGACCACUUCGAGGU
Molecule: long non-coding RNA, 348 nt
Filed under: Rosa chinensis
Lineage: Eukaryota; Viridiplantae; Streptophyta; Magnoliopsida; Rosales; Rosaceae
Description: sRNA RchiOBHm_Chr1g0315811
Source: RNAcentral